This 496-nucleotide ribosomal RNA is filed under the name uncultured bacterium. Its description in RNAcentral is "partial 16S ribosomal RNA". It matches the Rfam family "Bacterial small subunit ribosomal RNA", at positions 28 to 507 of the family's 1533-position model. The record is from RNAcentral.
GAUGAACGCUGGCGGCGUGCCUAAUACAUGCAAGUCGAGCGAACAGACGAGGAGCUUGCUCCUCUGACGUUAGCGGCGGACGGGUGAGUAACACGUGGAUAACCUACCUAUAAGACUGGGAUAACUUCGGGAAACCGGAGCUAAUACCGGAUAAUAUAUUGAACCGCAUGGUUCAUAAGUAAAUACGGUUUUGGUUGCACUUAUAGAUGGAUCCGCGCCGCAUUAGCUAGUUGGUAAGGUAACGGCUUACCAAGGCAACGAUGCGUAGCCGACCUGAGAGGGUGAUCGGCCACACUGGAACUGAGACACGGUCCAGACUCCUACGGGAGGCAGCAGUAGGGAAUCUUCCGCAAUGGGCGAAAGCUUGACGGAGCAACGCCGCGUGAGUGAUGAAGGUCUUCGGAUCGUAAAACUCUGUUAUUAGGGAAGAACAAAUGUGUAAGUAACUAUGCACGUCUUGACGGUACCUAAUCAGAAAGCCACGGCUAACUACGUG